Molecule: long non-coding RNA, 2000 nt
Organism: Cygnus olor (mute swan)
Lineage: Eukaryota; Metazoa; Chordata; Aves; Anseriformes; Anatidae
Exons: 2
Source: RefSeq, a predicted model, not a curated record
UAAAACCUACAAAAGUUACCAACAAACGUUUUCUAUCAUGAGAAUCAGAUGGAAAAUAGAGCUUGUGUUUUCCAAAACUAUAGGAAGCAACUCAAAGUUGCUGAACAGCAAAAUUAUCUGAAUCUGGCCCUUCAACCAAUUGUUUGAAAUAUUACGUUAAAACUUUCUACGAUUUUGCUUUUACAUUAUAGAGAUGUUUAGUUCGGAUACUUGUGAUUAUAUCGCAUUUUCCUUAGGAUUUAAUUUAAUGCUAUGUGGGAAAGCAGGAUAGUUGGGACAGUGUCAUUUUUAUUGCAUUUAGAGAAAUGUAACUGUUUUGUUCCGAUUUCAGCCUACAUUUAUUUAUCUGUUGUCUGUCAGCUACCUUUUUUUUUUUUUUUUUUUUUUUUGAGGACUCGGCUUCGGUGCUAAGCUUAUCAUAGAGAAACCUACCAGAGCCAAACUUCAGGUUUUGCCUCGCAGAAGCACAAAGAAAUGUCAGGUCAUUAAUUAAGCUUCGUGUUAGUAUCAGCACGUAUCGAUGGAUUGUUAGGAGGAAUGGGGAAGGUCUUUAAACUUCAUUAUGACUUACUGCCAACUUUCUACGCUUUGCUUCCUAAAGGCGCUCUCUGUGAAUUUCCUGCAUUUGCAUUAGAAUGCAUUUAGGAUGAAAAAAUAACAGUGCUGAGUAUACUUAGGGUUUCGUGCUAUAUUCCCCUGUAGUAACAGGUGACAUGAUAAUACUAUUAAACUACAAUGUGGAAUUGCAAGUGUGCAACCCCAAGUGAAAAUUGUUCUCUUUCUUGGUUGAAAGCAAAUUAUCAAUCAGCAUACCUUGAUCAAUUAUCCCCCUGGCUGCCACACACUGGGAUUUGCACAAGGCAUUGACAUUGAGAAAUUCCUCUUUAGAAAGGAUGAGCGGACGGGAUCCCAAACUUUGCAGCAGCCAAGCUAAGCUGCCGGGGUCUCACUUUUUUUUUUUUUUUUUUCCGCUAUUGUUGCUUUCCAGCUCAUCCAAGACAAAACUAGGAGAUCGUGUUUACUUCUCAGUGCAUUUUAAAAGAUGCUGUAUUAAAAAAAAUAAGGGGGAAAAAAGAAAAGAAAAAACCCUCCCCUCCGACCAAGCUCCCCCCCCAACAAUCACAGAGCAAGGAGAGAUUUUAAAAUAUAUAUAUAUAUAUAAAGGGAGGGGGGGGGGAACAAAGAAACACAAAAGCACAAAGAAAAAGCAAGUGAGGGAGCCUCGGGAAGAGCCGCACACCCCUCUCCCCUCGGUGCUCACCGUUGUUGGUAGGAGGUGAUGCCCUGGACGUUUUGCGGGUUGCCGUUGGCCGCGGCGCCGGCUCGCCCCAUGCCCGGCGCCGCCGGCACCCCCCCGGCCGCCCCGCCGGCCGCCGCCGUCACCUGCACGCUGAAAUCCGGGAAGAUCCUGAUCAUCCCCGCGGCUCAGCACCCGGAGGCUGUCGGCGAAGAGGUGCAGCAGCGGCGACUCUCCCUCCGGCGGCUGCAGCAGCAGAGCCAGGCACGCUGCAAUCCCAUUAUGGCAACUCUGAGCGGAUUUUCACGUAGCGAAGGGACAGCCUGGACAGAAAGCCUGCCUUUAGCCAAACUUGAUUCAGCUUUGUCCCAGAAGUCAUAGGUUUUCAUCCAUGUGAGCAAAACCAGACUCUCUUGCUAUUCAAGAUCUUUUAUGAUGAUUGAUUAGUAUCUUAAAUUAAGUGUUAAUGUAACUGAAAAGACAGUCUUCAUAACAACAAGUAGCCCCAUUGAGUCAGUGGAACUACUGACAAAUAGUUUUGUACGCUGUAAGACAAGCAGGAUUUAAAAGGUAGGUUAGUGAAUGGCUGUAGAAUGCGUAAGUUCCUUCUUUCUCAUAGCCCUGAAAAGAUACCAAAUAAAAAACGUUAUUUCAUAUCUGAAGAAAAGUCCAUUUUGUUUGCUCAUAUCUCGCCCCCUCCCCCCCCCCCCCCCAUUAAUCAUGAUAGCAAAACACAGAAUUUCUGAGAUUCAUCUUACACCAA